CGAGGAGAUCCGGACGAGCGGAGUCAUGGUGGAGGUGGCGUGGGGACGGAGGGCGCGGGGCGGUGGCAUGGGGAGGUAGGUUGGGGACGACCGUCUUUUUUGCUUUUUGGCCCUUUUGGGGAAAGUUUUUCACAAGUAAGCCCUUUUUAGUUUCAAUUCAGAAAAUGGACCCUUACCUCGGCGCCAUCAUUAUUUGCGCCAAGGUUACACGUCUCGAUGCCAAUAUAAAUGGCACCAAGAUAUCUCUCUGGAGCACUGAUGUGGCGCCUACGUGGUAGGGGUCGGCGCCGUCACUAUUGACACCGACCCCUGCUGCCUGCAAACGGCCGCUUGGCCCUUGCGUUCGUGCGUUAGUAGCCCUCCUAAUAACGACAGAUGUCUAGGAUAAGUCGUCCUUGCACUAAUGGACGUCUAGGAUAAGUCUUAAGCGCUUCAUGGAUUUAUUUUCCGUUCCUUCACGUUAGUAACCUGAAAAGAAAACACGUACAAUUGCAAGUACCUAUCAGUUGGCAUGUAGCUGAAAUGAAAACUCGUAACACUAUGGCUAUGACCUGGAGCACGUGCAUAUGAUUGCUGAAGACAACGAAAAAUAGAAGUUGUUGACAAACUGUUGUAAAUAGAAACUGCGUGCUAAUAUAUAUAUAUAUAUGAUAUUAGGAGCCCUGGGCUUCCAAUAGCUGGGCGAAAGCCCUGAUCGGAUGUUGCCAACCAAUUCAGCCGCACCAGGUUCGAAGCGUCUAUAAAAGAAGUUCCAGAUCGCUAGGGUUCAGUUUUAGCGACGCCGACAGUUAUGCCCCCACCCUCGAGAGGCACGCGCGGCGGCGGAUCCUGGGAGCAAGUGCGCGACGGUGAAUCUGGGGGACAUGCUCGCGAUGGUGGAUCCGGGGAACACGCUCGCAGCGGUGGAUCCCUGAGGCCAGCGCGCGGCGAUGGCCCCCAUGAGGCGCGCAGAUGGCGAGGUGGGAGCGGCUGCAACAUCGGAUCCUGAGGGCACACACGCGGCAGCGGCCCCAUGAGGUGCGCACGACGGCGAGGUGGGAGCGGCCGCGCGGUGGAUCCUGAGGGGCACGAGCGCGGUAGCGUCUCCUUGAGGUGCACGCGGCAGCGACCGCUUGAGGUGCGCACGGCGGUGACAUGGGAGCGGCUGCGGCGGCGCGACGACGGAUCUCGGGGGCACGUGAGCAACGAUGGCACCCCUAAGGCGUGCAUAACGACGAGGUGGAAUGGCUGGUGCGACAGAUCUCAGGAUGCACGCGCGCGAGGGUGAACCCCUGAGCGUGUACGACUGUGAUGUCAUCCAAGGUGGGAGUAGCGAUGACGGACUUCCCUAGGCGCAAGCGACGAAAGCAGCCUCCCUAGGCACAAAGUGGUGGCGCAUCCUAGAUGUGAGGUGGCGGUUUCGCAGGGUGGCGGUCCUAUUUUUAUGCUAUUUUGUAUAUAUAUUUAUACCAAUGUCAAUAGUUUUUAUGACCUAUAUUUCAUUUCAUGGCUCCGCUUCCAUCUAUUUGUCUGUUUAUGAUAUUUCUAUUGACAUUUUACGCAAACGAUAUAUUGAUUUUAUGCAUUAUCUCGUUUACUUAAUCCAGUGUGUAUUGGGUUUCUACCAUUUAUGCCAUAUGUAUAAGAUAUAUUUACGACCCACACAUUUACACAACAAAAUAGAAAUUUAGAAAAAAGGUAACCGCUCUAAGAAAUGAGGUCAUUUGCCACGAUUCCAUAAAUCUCGCGUAUGCCGAUCCAUUUCCUUUUCAACUCACAUUUUUGUCAUUCUAAAUUUGUGCACAUGCAGUAGAAAACAGAUUUUUUUACCAGUCUACCGUACGACAUAAAUAACUUCACCGUGUUGUAUAAUUAGUAUCAAUAUAUAUCAUAAGCUGGUUCUAACGAGCUUUGAUGCAUGGAUGUUGGAGAGAUCCUAUAUUUAUAGAGGAAAUAAAGCAUUUAAAUCAGAUUUUUUUUCCAUACAUGUUUUCGUUAUGAAAUAAAUCGAUGAUUUACACUAAAAUUCAUACCCAUUUAUGUUGUUUUGGUUCACGUUUUACGCUGAAAUUCACAUGAGCUCCCACGCACGAUCCACUCCAUAUCUUCUGUUCCGAGAUAUAUAUAUAUAUAUAUAUAUAUAUAUAUGGUAACUUCCAGCUUCGUGGGCGCGCUAAUCACGGUGGUGUGUGGACCCACCUGAACGAACCAAUGAAAAGUUUGUUGUCGCUCUCCUGUUACGCAAGUCUAAACCAUUAAAUAUGCUAGCAUAAACACAAGCAGGAACCAACUACCCGACCAGCGAACACGACACUGGUCCACCUUCAUCCAUCCUAACUCGACCCCAUCACGUGCGGACCUUCUGUUUACGCAAAACAUAACACAUGUUUACGCAUGCAUAAACGUGUCCCACAAUCGCGCGGACGCACGCGCCCCACUGGCCUGACCUGACCACGCGCGUGACCACUACCGUGGCUGGGGCUUCCUAUGUCUAUCGGAAGCCCAGCCCAGGACUUCCAUUUCCAACAGCAUAUAUAUAUAUAUAUAUAUAUAUAUAUAUAUAUAUAUAUAUAUAUAUAUAUAUAUAUAUAUAUAUAUAUAUAUAUAUAUAUAUAUAUAUAUAUAUAUAUAUAUAUAUAUAUAUAUAUAUAUAUAUAUAUAAACAUAAGGAUUAAGCUGAAGUCUUCAGAAAGUUUGAAUUCCUGAAUAAUCCAUUGUGCUUUUGUGUGAAAAAAUAGACCGUACACAUACCAACAGCUUAAUGUGGAUAUUAGUUUGUGUUUUUGAAAUCAAAUAAGUGAUUAAGCAUGUCCAUCAAACAAUACCAAUGCAUGUCAUCAAAUCACUUGUUCAAAUACAAAUAUUUUUUUGUUUAGCACAAGCAAGCAUUAGUUGUGUUGGUUACAGACGUGAGCUUUAAUGUUUGUCGUUGUUGGUUCAAACCCCAAUAGACUCAUGUUUUAUUUGGUGUCUCCAUUUAUUUUGUACACUAUAAUACCCAAAGUUGUAGACCAUAGAAAACAAGGAUAACACUCUUGUGUAUUUUGCUUCUACAUACUAUCAUAUGAGAACACUCACUUUUAAAAGAAAAUAAUCAACAAAAGACACAUGAACAACUUAUGCAUCAUAUUGGAGUUUUAUUUGUGCAUUGAAUAAUAAUAACACUAAUAAAAUAUAAUAAUGAGUUGAAGAUUUGGAUCAAAACCUAAAUUUGAAAUUGGGAUUUGAAAAAUGGAAAAGAAGAGAGAAAUACUAUAAAAUACAAAAUGAAUUUAUAAAUAAAUAGACUCAACCCAUAUAGGAAUGUCCAAGUCAUACAUUCAAAUCUAAGUACAAAUUCACUACAAAAUUUGAAUUCAAAAUUGAGACUCAAAAAUAAAAAGGAAAACAUAAUAAAGAAAAAGAAAAAGAAAGUUGAUAGCUACUUGGGUCGGGAUGCCAUUUUGGCCCAUCUUCACUCACCGCGCAGCCCACCCGCGGAAGCAGGCGCCGACAACUGAGGCCCAAUCGUCAGAGGCUAUUUUUGCGCGCGCUCACGUAUACACCUAUCACAAUAGCGCGGACCCACUCUGUCAGCAUCACUUCGCGGUGCGCUCUCCAUGCCAGCCUCAUAUCGACUGACCAGUGGGGCCCCUUUACUGCUCAUCUUUCGUCGCGGUAACAGAACUCCGAUGGCCCCGGGAGCAUGGUGCUAACUCCGGAUCCGAUCCUCUUGGGGAUAAAAGCUAGCCCUCGCGCCGCUCGUUGACUAAACAUACCUCCCGGUCGUGAGCCUCUAGUGCAUCAGCCUCUCCUCCAUCACCGAGUGAUGUGGGUGAUUGCCGGUGCGCAACGAAGAAGGAGACCGCGGCCGCCGUUAGUGGACCACGACCGCGCCGAAGUUCUGCCCUCGAGCCUUGGACCUUCGCCCGUCCCCAGGGAACAUCUCAGUGUCAUUGGGUGAGGGUGGGAGGCUGUGGAGGACCUUGGAUUAUCGUCGGUGCCCCAGAACCACCGUAGAGCCGCCGAACAUCGUCGCCAGACCCCUGAGCCGCUCAAUCGCCGGUAAGGAGUGGUCAACCAUAUUCGCCAUGGUCCCUACUUUAUUUAUCCUCUAGUGUAUUUGAGGGAUCGUGUGUUUUGGCCUGGUUCAUCGUCGCGCCGGCAAUGGCGCCGCCGUUGGUGCUCGGGCGUCGGCUGGUUCGGCGAUAGGGUGGCGGUCGGAUCGCGACCGUUGGAUUGGAAAUAGACGAGCGAGAUUAGAAGGUCCAUACCCAUUCGGAUGUUGAAUCCACGCCAUUGGUGUGGAUCUUGUGGCUACGAUUUAAUUUCGCCUCGGAUCGAUCUAUGUCGUAGAUUACCGAUUGUGCGACCAAGAGAGAGGGAGAGAAGAUCGUGCGUCAUGGGUCGUGGAUUUCAGAUCCGACGGCGGUGAGUGAAAGCGGGAUUUUAACCGAAGCCGAUCUAAUAUGGACCAUUUAUGCUCGAUCUGAUGACUGAGAUUGACUUAUACCCCUUCGCUGUGCACGUUUUGCAGAAAAGCCCUUCUGUUUUAGAAAACCAACCCGCAGUUCAUCUCGGGUUUGCACAGAGUCUGGGGAGAACUGCGAGUUAGACCCUGUGUUUCUGAGUAAAUGACGCGCAGUCCAGAGGGAAAUAAAAAUAGAGAAACAAUUCGGGAUAUUGAUUUUCAAUACAAAAAAAUCAGAAACUUGUAUAAAUCAUAUUAAAUUGAUUUUAGGUCCAAUUUGAUCCAUUCCAGUUACAUUAAUUUUGUUUUAAUAUUGUAUAUCACUUAGUACCUCUGUUUAGCCAUGAAACAUGAAUUAAAAUUGUUCAUUUGAAUUAAUCUAUUCUAAGUGCUAAAUAACUUCAUAAAUGCAUAACUUAAUAGCCGUAGAUCCGAAUUUAGUGAUUCUUGUUCCUACAAUCUCGUUAUGCAGCAUAGAAUAUUAUUAUGCAUUUUAUUCUACUGUUUGGUGUGAUGUUAAUUUUUGGUAUACUAUGUAUGUUUGUAUUGAUGCGAAUAGACGAGCAAGCCAUAGAGGAUCCGGGGGUUCAUAAGGUGGAGACUGCUGAGCAGGAGCUCAUUGAAGGCAAGUUGUGCCCUUGACCACUUCUUUUUACCCAGUCAUGUUCUUAUUAAUCAUAAUGAUCUGCAUAGGUUAAUUUUGAUGGGACCCAAUAGGUUACCCUAGUUUGGCUAUCUUUAUACCUUAUUUUACCACUGAAUUUUUGGGUAGUACAUGCUAUUGCUUUAUGUGGUUUUGGGUAUGGAGAUAUACAUUACUCAUGUUCACACUUUUAUUAUCAGUUUAUUAUUUACUGUUCAUGAUAAGAUCAUUAUGUUAAUUGGAACAUGGAGAACCACUCGGGAAAACAGUGCUACCACAAGGGUGGUACGGGACGCCCUUGGCUGACUAACUAGGAAAGCUAGUGGAGGACUACCUUACCCGAUAGGGGCAAGGGCAGUAGGAGAGUGAUCAGUGUGGGGAGGUCCUUGGGUUGAUUUUGCUGUGAUGGUCGUCAGACGAGGGGUCCCUGCACUGGAGCUUCCUAAAAACUGUAGCGGGUUUUUCAGAAGCUUGUGGAACUUUGUAAAGGCCUCGUAGUGGAACCCUGCCUCGCUUUCUUGGUAGAGGUGUAUGGGGUCUGAUCAACUCCAUGGUAAAUGGGUAACACGACUUGUGGGUAAAGAUGCGCAACCUCUGCAGAGUGUAAAACUGGUAUACUAGCUGUGCUCACGAUCAUGAGCAGCUCGGACAUUCACAUGAUUAAUUUAUGGAAUUAAAUUCAAUUUGUCAAUUGCGUCGCAUUGGGAUUAUUUAUUAUUAUUUUGACUUAUUAUUUGUUGGGGGUCUGUUUCGUCGCCGAAGGUCCUUUAAGAAGAAACACCUUCGAUAGAUCAGCACAAAAGCAAACAUAGCGCGAAGGUACACACCGAAGCUACCUUCCAGGGAGCUUAGGCAUAGCGACAUACCUUGAUACGAAGGGCUGCAACGACUUAAAGAGGAAAAGACCAAUGGGCCGAUAGUAAUUUGUGCCAUGAUUGUAACUAGUUGUAGAGGACAUAAAUGUAAUUUCGACCGGGCUAUGUCCCGUGCCUAUAAAUAGAUGAACAUUACCCCUAUACUGUUCACGCUGACUUGUAUUCGCUCGUGCAUCACGCUUGGACUUU
RNAcentral lists this long non-coding RNA (6136 nucleotides) under Zea mays. Its description in RNAcentral is "long non-coding RNA (ZMAY_LNC000392)". The record is from RNAcentral. Lineage: Eukaryota; Viridiplantae; Streptophyta; Magnoliopsida; Poales; Poaceae.